Molecule: long non-coding RNA, 1443 nt
Filed under: Stegodyphus dumicola
Lineage: Eukaryota; Metazoa; Arthropoda; Arachnida; Araneae; Eresidae
Description: uncharacterized LOC118187278, transcript variant X2
Source: RNAcentral
UCCUGCCAGUCGCUCGGGCGAGCCCGUCGCGGCGGGACAUUACCCAGCGACCCCGGGGGAAAUCCCCACGGGUUACUAAAUGCUGCAACAGGAAGGCAAAUACAGCAGAAUAUUCCAUUAAUGGGCACUUUUAAAAAUAAUUCCUCAAUUUCUUUCGAAGUAAAAGCCCAAUAUGGCCCAAUUUAGCAGAUACUGUCUAAUUAUAGACAAAAACUAUAAUUAAAUUAGUGCCUGAAAACAUGAGGUUCAACUCUAUUUAUUGGCACCUAUCCUAGCUCUUGGUUCCAGAUAAUAGUAAUGAUAAGUAUCAGUAGUAAAUGGAUGCCUCAGUUCAACAUUUCAGAACUUCUAGCAGGGGUAAGGUGCACCCCGAUGAUUCGGAAUCAUAUAGCAAUGCAGGGUUGGAAUUGCUUUCCUGACGUGCUGGCACACAUAGAAACAUCAGAUAUUAAAAAAAUGCCAGAAAUACACUACCUGACAUUGAAAAUGCAACAGUGAGAAGGAGUGGCCAGAAAGUGAUGAAACUCGGCAAACAGAGAAAGAUAGCAACAAACAGUACGUGAUCUGUAUUUCAAAGUGAUAUGCAUACAAUACAGAGCCAGAAAAGCAUCAUCUCAGUAAGUUGUAGGACCACCUUGGACAGCGGUAUACGAAGCAACACAUCUAGGUACGGAGUCAAUGAGACUAUGGAUGGUGUUCUGAGAAAUGGCUCUCAUUUCCCUAUCAACCAUUUGCCACAAUUCGUCUUCUGAACGCAGCAAUGGCAGGGUCUGCAAAUGGUGUUCAAUCACAUCACAACUGUGUUCAAUUGGUGAGAGAUCAGAAGAGACCAGUGGCCAGGGAAAAAUCUGUAUACCUUGCACAGCACAUUGGCUGACACAAAUAAUAUGUGGUCGAGUGUGAUCUGUUGAAAAGGGCAUUGGGAACUCUCUGAAGGUAGGUAUUGACCACAGCUCAUUAUCCAUGCAUCACUAGGCUGCCAUAGUGCCCUGAACACCAACUGGUAACCUGAAAUCAUAUGCAACUGCACACUAAAACAUGACGUGCUAUCGCGUGGUGUGGCGUUCCACAGUUGCUGACGGAUUGGAACUGUCUCCAUAUCGAUGCCCCACUUAGUACGUAGCAAUUAUCCUUGGAGAAACAAAAGCAUGGCUCAUCUGAGAACACAACCCUGUGCCGUUCCGUCAUCUACAUCACUCGAGGCCGGCACUAUUGCAGACAUUGGCAUCUAUAAUUUGGGGUCAAAGGACAGUCUCCUUAAUGGACGCCAUGUGUGGAGGCCACUAGCCGCCAAUCAAUAGCAAAUGGUUAUGGUAGAUAUGGGAACAUCAAUAGUGUCUUGAACAUGCUGCAGAAUGGAGGUAGAAGUGGCUUGCGGGUGCGCCAUCGCUUGUCAACGGAUGCAUCCAUCCCCGCAUGCUGACGUCACUCUGGCUGCAUGGC